AGGAGGAGGGGAGGAGCUGGGAGGGUGGUGGCCGGCGGGUCCAAAGGAGAAGAAGAAGCUCGGCUGGUUCAAGAAGGAACAGGGGAGAGGGAUUGUUAUGAAGGAAAUGCUUUGUUUUCUCUUUUGAAAACAGAGCAUGUUCUAAUAUUUUCUUUUUCUUUUUGUUUUUUUUAAGAGUUUUAUUUUAAGAGCAUGUGUUUUGGGGUUUUUAGUUUUAUUUAUGCUAAAGUU
Molecule: long non-coding RNA, 231 nt
Filed under: Phoenix dactylifera (date palm)
Lineage: Eukaryota; Viridiplantae; Streptophyta; Magnoliopsida; Arecales; Arecaceae
Description: long non-coding RNA (PDAC_LNC013025)
Source: RNAcentral